GGUGAUUGGGUAUUCCCAACUUUAUUUAUUUAUUCUCAUCCUGCUCUGCACACGGCAAUGGUUGGAAAUAUGUUCACGAUCCCUUCUUCGUCUUUUUAAGAAGUUUCUCUCCCUCGCUCUUUGAGCCCAGGAGACCGAGCAGCACAGCAGUCGGAAACACCACUGUCCAUUGUCGAUGGCACCACCAGGUAUUCUCUCUCCCUCUCGCGUUCUUAUUGCGUCGGUUCGAGCUCCAUAGCCGCCUGCGCCUUUGGCAACGGCCUCUCUCUCUCUCUUUGAGGUAUAUAGUCUCUUCUCUCUUCCUAACAGUGGUGAUGUUUAUUUAUUUAUUCUCAUCUGCCCUUUGUGUUUUUGUUUUGUACGGAAGCGGGGGGGGGAAAAAUAAAAAUGAGCCUUCAUAGAUACAUGACAAGGCAAUGGCUACGCACCACCUACCGGUGCUCAAAAGAACCAAGACCAUUGUUAAGUCUCGCGGUUUUUAAAUCUGUUCUACAUAGGGAAGGGGUGUUGAAUGAACAUAUAACUUGCUCCAGUGGAAUUCCUCUUCGUCUCUACGGAGAAGAAGGUGCAAACUGCAUGGAGCAGUACCAUGCUUUCUACAUACUUGGGGUAGAGAAACAUGGAUUCUUGGGGUUUAGGCUCAUAUACACCACUUAGGCAUUCACUUACUGCCCUUUUGGCAAACGGAACGGUAUGUAAUUCUUUUAUGAAUAUGACCCAAAAAUUAAAACACCAUAAAAUGUGUUUUGUGAGUUUAUCUUAAUUUUUAAGGUAUAUUGAUGGAACACUUGAAAAAACUGUUUCAUUUACCACGGGCCGUUAUGGAGCUCAUGUGAACGUCUAAAGUCCAUGGCCGACCCUUGUGGAGGGACAGCAAAGUAGCCCCAUUUUUCUAGCAGGGGCCUUAUGUUUCUUUUUUGGUAUGUCAAUGAAAUAUGUGUGUUUCUAGUCUCAGUAGUUUUUCUUUUCGAUUUAUCAAGCUUUCCACUCGUCAGUGUGUGACAUAAUUAAAUCAAAAGCAAAAUUUAAAUCACUCAAAAAAGCUAAAUCUCAACUACUUGAUCCUUGUUUGGCUUUUAUUUCUUGGCAUUUCCACCAGGUGGUAUAUAAAAGAAAUCAACGUCAGUGUCUGGUAUGACCUUUUUAGUUAGUAAAUAGAAACUUUUGCUGCAAUUUGCUUUUUCCACCAGUUCUUCAUGUUCAACGCAAAACUUGGUAGUGUAUUUUUUCACUUGAAGCUCGUAGCAGCAUCAGAUAAUCAUGUUCAACAGAGAUCAUCAGGUUCUGCAGGCUGCAGCUUGUAGCAGACUACCAAUCAUUUUGUUCAAGCUCUAUCACAUCUAUUCAGAACAUACCUUUUCUUGUGCAGAAUGCUCCACUGCUUGAAUUGCAAGAAUAAGAAAAAAGAAUUGUUGGUUGUAAAUGAUGUUGUUGUAUGUUUGGUUUACAACUAAUUAUCAACUUGAUGAUACAAAAUUGCCUUUCCCUAGACAUGGAAACUAUUUACAACUAAUUAUCGGCUUGAUGAUACUGAUUAAUUGCCUCUCUGCAGACAUGGAAACUAUGGAAUAGAACAAGUUUUUGGAUUUUCUUGAUCCAGCAUCUGUAACUCCAUGUGACUUAGAUAAGGUGCAGAUGUAUGUCAGUAUUGGUCUACCUUAGAUUCAAGAAGGUGCAGCAGAGAGUGCAACCAUGUUACCCAUUGUUCUUAGCUGACCAGUGAUUUUGAGGGACGGUAGCUGACACUACGAAAGCUCUCCUCAUCAGUGUUUUGCUUUUGAACACCAAUUUUUACAUGAUGAAAAAACCAUCUUUGUAAACGUGACUUCACCUUCAUGUUAUGAAAUUUACCAUGGUCAUGUUGUCUUUCUACAAGAGACUUGACCUUCAUGUUGGUACAGUUGCGACAGGUUUAUGGUUAUGUUGAUUUCAAAGCGAUAGUUGAUACGCAAACACCAGUUUUUGCAUGAUGAGAAAGCCAUCUUUGUAAGCAGGAUGUUACUUGGUGCUACUGGAACACUUGGCAGGCUUGAAAUCAGAAGAUUUGAGAAUGUAGUAUCGUAGAAGCCAUUAUUCCUGACAUUGCUUUCACAUUUAUUUGUAUCACAACUUUCAGUACUUCUUAAUGGCAGCUGUGAGGUUUAAUGCUCCCAUGGAAGGCAUUAGGACAAGCCUUUCUUCAAUGUAAUCUGGAUGAAAUCUGUAACUUUUUAAGCUCUAGCUGCAGUUAUAACUUAUUAUAAACUGUUCCUUG
Nymphaea colorata (pocket water lily) is the source of this 2254-nucleotide long non-coding RNA. RefSeq lists it as uncharacterized. The record is from RefSeq and is a predicted model, not a curated record. The transcript has 4 exons. NCBI's taxonomy places the organism in Eukaryota, Viridiplantae, Streptophyta, Magnoliopsida, Nymphaeales, Nymphaeaceae.